GACGAACGCUGGCGGCGUGCCUAACACAUGCAAGUCGAGCGAAUGAAGUUCCUUCGGGAAUGGAUUUAGCGGCGGACGGGUGAGUAACACGUGGGCAACCUGCCUCAUAGAGGGGAAUAGCCUUCCGAAAGGGAGAUUAAUACCGCAUAAGAUUGUAGUAUCGCAUGAUACAGCAAUUAAAGGAGCAAUCCGCUAUGAGAUGGGCCCGCGGCGCAUUAGCUAGUUGGUGAGGUAACGGCUCACCAAGGCGACGAUGCGUAGCCGACCUGAGAGGGUGAUCGGCCACAUUUGGACUGAGACACGGCCCAGACUCCUACGGGAGGCAGCAGUGGGGAAUAUUGCACAAUGGGGGAAACCCUGAUGCAGCAACGCCGCGUGAGUGAUGACGGCCUUCGGGUUGUAAAGCUCUGUCUUCAGGGACGAUAAUGACGGUACCUGAGGAGGAAGCCACGGCUAACUACGUG
This 464-nucleotide ribosomal RNA is filed under the name uncultured bacterium. RNAcentral describes it as "partial 16S ribosomal RNA". It matches the Rfam family "Bacterial small subunit ribosomal RNA", at positions 28 to 507 of the family's 1533-position model. The record is from RNAcentral.